Molecule: long non-coding RNA, 813 nt
Filed under: Arachis ipaensis
Lineage: Eukaryota; Viridiplantae; Streptophyta; Magnoliopsida; Fabales; Fabaceae
Description: long non-coding RNA (AIPA_LNC001601)
Source: RNAcentral
UUAAGUUGCUGUCCAAACAUUUUAGAAAUUUCUGCAGCAAGCCUUCUCAAUUUCACUAACCAAAUUUAGUCCUCUAGGUUUCCAACUUAUACCAAUCUACCAUUCCUCUUAUUCAUUACCAUAUCUACUUAAAUUAUAUCAUAACCCUACCCCGAAACCUCAGUUUCAUGUAUCUAUCAGAAAUCACCAUGGUUUAUAUCAUACAAGCACACUUUAAAGCAUUAGAAUUCUGCACUUCUUCUAAUAAUAAUAAACCAACCAAUCAACAGAAUUUCAGCAACAACAGUCUUAUCAACUCAUCACCUUCAAUUAGAAAUUGCAUCUAUCAAUUACCCAUAAUUCUAACUCUUAUCUCUUUUAAGGUUGAAAAUUCUAUUUUUACUUCUUUCCGGAAUCAGAACCCUAACCGUACGGAAUUGGAGCUUUGGCCUCUCUUCCAAGAACGAAUGGCCGACCUCAACUUGAACAAGGGAAGAGUUCUUGCUUAUGGUCACUACUGUUCUAGCAAGAAUUGGAAUUAGAAUGGUAGAGGUGGAAUAAAAGGGAAGAACAAAAUUUGAAUCUGAAGAAGAGGAAGAAGGAGAGUUGCUAGUUCUCACCCAGCAAAGAAGCUUCGAAGAUUCCGAGUGAUGAGAGGUGGGGCGCUUUCCUUCUUGCUGCGGAUGGCUUCUUCCUUCCUUUUCAGUUUCAUUUUGCUUUCCUUCUCUCUGUUCUUCUCCUUUGUUUGUGCAUGUUUUGGUUCAAAGAAAAUGAGAAGUACUAAAUUCAUUAAGUGGAAGAAAAAGAAGUGGGUGAGGCAGUGCAUAAGGCUUC